Long non-coding RNA from Carassius carassius (crucian carp), 606 nucleotides. RefSeq lists it as uncharacterized. The record is from RefSeq and is a predicted model, not a curated record. Lineage: Eukaryota; Metazoa; Chordata; Actinopteri; Cypriniformes; Cyprinidae. The transcript has 3 exons.
AACGGUUCCUCACAGAUUUGAACUGCUGUGCAGGCAGACCAUGAUGGUGCACACGCGGAAAAGACCAGAAAGAGAUAUUUUCUUUCACUCACAAAGCGGAGCAGACGGGGAAGUUGGUUUUAACAAGGAAAACACGGAAAAUGGAAACUGCAGAGAACCACAUUCUGUCAUCCUGAAAAAAAGAAAGAGACUACUUUCUCCAAGGAGGUCCAAACGCCAUUGGCACAGACUUUGUUCAGUGAUCAGUAACAUACAUUCAGCCAGGGCCGUCCUUAGGGGGUGCAACUGAUGCGGUCGCACCGGACUCCACACUUGAGGGGUAAACGGACUGAAUGAGAGCCCCCACCCCCCGGGAAUGCUUCCUACUUCGCACCGGGUCCCAAAUCAGCUAAGUAUGGGCCUGCAUUCAUAGUUAAUGGUAAUGACUGAGAUGCUGUGGUUUAAGCAGAUAAAUGUAAGCACUAUAAACCUGAUUAAAUUGAGAAUACAUAUGGACCAAAUAUGUUUUUUUGUGCCUUUGCACUGAUUUGCUUUGACAUUGUUUUAAUUGUUGUAAAGUAUGUUCUUUAUAUGAAUUGAAAACACUGAAUGUGAAGACAUUUUGGU